AAUGACCCAACAGAAAAGCCAGCACUGAAAAUGAAGACAAAGACGCAAAGGCCAAUAAAUAUUCACAAAACGUCACUUCACUAACAUUUCCAGUUCCAGAUGACAGGAGGCCCUCAGGGACUCAGGAGGCAGGAGCACGGGGAGGUGACAGCGCCAGCAGCAGGAGGGCAGGCCUCUGCCUUGGCACGAGCGGGGCCACAGCUCCUGGCGGGCUGCGGGGGCCGGGAAGCCCGAGCAGCCUGGCGCUCCUGGCCCCUGCACACGCUUCCCUCCCUCCACCCCGUUCCUCCCUCUCUCUGUGCCUUGGGCCCCGUGGGAUGCGCUCACAUCCAGACUCACCAGGCCCGAGACGUUGGGAGAAUGGAGAAGCGCUUGCGAGCCAAAAGUCCUCCAGGAGCACCUGAAGGAAGCUUCGCCUGCACCUGGGACACCCUUCCCUGAUGCUGGCCUCAAGGCAGGCGCGCCGCACACGCUUCCGGUCCAUGACGACCACAGCUCAGAAGAGCACGCGAACCCAGCCUCCACAAAGAGAAAAUGGCGGAAUGGGCCUUCGCCUCCCUUUUAUAACGGCUGUACUCAACCGCUGUAUCUUGGAAGCUUUGUUUUGAUUGGGUGAGAAGGAACUUUUUUCGACAACUCUUAUUGGAUAAUAGUCUCCUGCUCUGACUGGAUAAUCUUAACUAAUCAGAGUUGGAGACUUAUCCAAUCUGUGUUGUAGUACAGAGUCUGCUCUCAUCCUAUCAGAAAGAGGCUUCCAGGGUAUGUCAUUUGAAUACAGACAUUAUAAAAGGGAGGCAAAGAUCUGCACCUGCCGUGGAGGUUGGGCUCAUGUGCUCCUCUGCAUUGGAGUUAGCCAAGGAGCGUGUGCAGAACACUUGCCUCAUAGGCCAGCCGUAGAGAAGGAUGUCCCAGGUGCAGGCGAAGUUUUGUUCAUGUGUUCCUGGAGGAUUUUUCCCGUGGCAAGCGCUUCUCCAUCCUCCAGCAUCUCAGGCCUGGCUGGCCACUCAGUAUUCCUUGUCCCUGGCCUCGCAGCCCACCCGGGAAGCCACAGUGACCAGCCACCAGGUGUGCCAUCACGGAGGAAGUCCAGGUUGGAGAGGUGGUCUCCUUCUGUGAGCAGGUCCACCUCUCCCCCCACUGAGGCCCCUUUCUGCCUGUGACAGCCCCACCUCAAGGGCCAUGGCACAGCCAUCAGCUCCAGCUGCCAGCAUGCUACUGCCAUGCCCCGAGUGUCCAUCUGGGCCCCGGUUCAUGACCUGUUGUCUUUCUGUAUCUACUUUCUGCAGCCCCUCACUGAGGAGGCCUCCUGGGUUUGUCCAGUGCCUGCUAUUAAAGCUUUGCUCCAAGUUCAA
Homo sapiens (human) is the source of this 1352-nucleotide long non-coding RNA. Lineage: Eukaryota; Metazoa; Chordata; Mammalia; Primates; Hominidae. The record is from Ensembl.